This 11799-nucleotide long non-coding RNA is filed under the name Homo sapiens (human). RNAcentral describes it as "PAX8 antisense RNA 1". Lineage: Eukaryota; Metazoa; Chordata; Mammalia; Primates; Hominidae. The record is from RNAcentral.
GGACACCUCGGGGGUUUCCUGCUUUAUGGCGAAGGACACAUAUACUCACAGAAAUGAGUUAUUUAAAGAAGACGGUCCAGAUUCCACAGUCCAAAAAAAAAAGAGGUUUGCCCUGCUUCUGAAGGAGUCAGGGUAUGAAUGCAGAGGUCUUCCUGUUGGCUCACAUAUCAGAUCUUCAACGUCAACAUUAAAUGCGAGUGAUGCUUCCCCCUCUGUGAAUGUGGCUUUGGGUAUGGCUAAUCCACACCCUGCACUCUGGCCUUCAGAAGCCCAGGGAGAGAAGCCUCCCAGAAGCAACCUUCCAGAACCUUCUCCAUCCUCCCACCGACCUCCCCAGCCCCUGUCCUCUCUUUGAAUCUCGUUGUCAAGUUCUUCCCGCAGACACCUGGCUCCUUGAGGGGAGGUGCAGCUUUCAUCUGACCAUGCAGGCGUGCUUUGCAGUGGGUAGAGCAGUGCUUUCCUCCUCCCAGCUGCACACUGGAAUCACCUGGAGAGUCCAGAAACUUCCCGCCUCAGUGAAAGAACAUCAGUGUAUCAGCACAGCAAAUAUUCCAAAUGCCAGGCUGGAUUCCCUCCAAUUACCAGGACCUCCAGGCUUCUCCUCCUUUCAAGAACUUUCUGACCCUGGAUCCAGUCUAAAUGUUGGUUAUAAACUCACCUGACAUCCACAGGGCCCUUCCAAAAUACUGUCAAGGCUGACUGCUGGUGCCUGGAACCUGCACACCCUCCUGGGACUCUGCAUCUCUGCUGGGGCUGGUUUCUCCUCUGAGCCACCUUAAGGAAUCCCACCCUGACCCGGUCAGAGCUCACCAUGCCUCCCUCUCCUACUUGCUCAGCAUUUUGUGUCUAUCUAGACUGAAGCCUUUGCUUUCUCUCUGUGAUUAUGGUGAAAGUUCAGUUUGCUUUCCUAUCUCUAGAAUGUCAGCACGAAGGCAGAGGCAUGGUCUCCUGAGUUCCAUAACCCCAAAGCCUAACUCCCUGCCUGCCACACUGAGGGGCUUAGUAGACAUUGACUUACUAAAUUGAAUAGUUGAGUAAUAAUGCUCUUUGAAAUAAUUUGGAGUUAGAUCUUGAGCCUUGUGUGGCCAGAGGAUGGGUGAGGACACAUCAUAAAAACUAAAGGUAACUGAGCAUGCCAGUGGUUGGGGUGAGAAAUUUGCAUGGAGCACUCCAGACACAGAGGCAGCAAAACCCAAGUGCUGGGAAGUCAGAGUGAGAGAGUGAAGGGGCAGUGAGUGCUUCUUUAGGAGCUGGAUCAAAACCUAAGAUGAUCUGGCCACAUGGUGCAGACUGAGCACACACUUGGGAGAGAAAUGGGCCAGGAGGAGAGGAGAGAGGUUCACCACAGGACAGUGGAUGACUGGGAAUAGAAGCCCUCCCCAUGGUGGACCAAGAAGUCUGUGAAGCUGAGAGAAAGACAAAAGAAAUCACGACUUCUGUAGGUAGCUGGGAUGGAAACCUCAGGGGUGACAGGGUCUUUAAAGGAAAUCUCAAGGAAGGCAUCAUGUUCUGGGUGUGCUCCAGGGAUGCUGAGUAAGAAAAGACCAGCCUUUCUGUGUGUGUCUUUACUCUGCCACAAGGCACCUGGGCUCCUAAAUGACCAAUACACAUGUGCUAUACUGGUGCCAAGAAAGAAGGGUGUUUUGUAGGAAAGUCAAGGUGAGAGGAGGUGCCCAGGACUUGGCUCCUUUCUUUGAAGGGUGACGGUGUAAAUUCUCCAUGCUGGGGAUCCUACUGAUGGAUGGAGGCAUGUCGAUCUCAUCAUUUCACAGAGUGGGGAGCUAUGGCCACAACGUGCCUAUCACACAAGUCCAGCCUCACGUCAGCUGGACACCAGCUGUUCUGACACUUGUCAGCACAUGGGGCACCCGGAAGUUCAUGGUGUUCUGCAAAGAACGCCACAAAACAGUGAGCUCAACUUCUUGAAAGUCAUAAUGUGUUGCUAAGUCCGAUCCCAGAUCCUAAAAAUAAUAUGAGGUAGUGGCCAUUGAACAGAAAAAAUUUACAUCUUAAACUUGAAGAUAAGUACAAGUGUACCUUUUUCUACCACUGUUGUUCAGUUUUAUUAUAUUGACAAGCACCUCUGCCCACCCUGUGGGGUAAAACUGUUUGAAAGUGUUUAUGAAAGUUUUAUAUAAAUAUUGGUUGAUCAAAUGUACAAAAUAUGCAUGAUGGCACCAUAUUGUGUAUAAUAGUGACAAAUACAGUCUAUGUGGGUGGAGAAACAAGCUCGGUGUUGUGCAUGCGGCUGUGGUUUGUGUUCACACUUCUCCUUUAGAGUGUAGUAGACAGAACAUGCCUGAACUGCCUGGGGCUGAGGGGUCUCAGGCGCAGAGUGGCCCAGGAAUUCUGAGCAAGGACAGAAUGUUAGAGAGAAUAUCCUGAGCUGAGCAGAGAGGCCUGCCCAUGCUAGCUGGCAGCCACCUGCCUUCAGUGCUUCAUUCUUGGGGGACCUUGAGGCCAGUUCUUGAGUGGAUGAGUCCUGCCGCUACUGCUGCUGCCCACUUGGUAGCUCUGUCCUCAUCUGGGAAGAGCCACUGUGAACCCCAGAGACCUAGUGGUGCUAGGGGCUGAUGCAGGCAAAUGACUGGCUGCCCCUGGAUCUUAUGUGAAAACAAGAAUGCUGGACCAAAAGGUCUCUACAGGGCUCCAUGACUACCCAUGACCCGUAACUUCAGUGAGGAGCUAGUGGCCAGGAGGGGCUCAUGGUUGGACACUGGUAUUCCUCUACUCAGACCUUAAACCACAGGUUGCAAGAACAGGGAGGUCACAUGUCAGUGACCUCAUGCCUAAAUAGAUGCAUAGCACAGAGCAGAUUCCUGGAUAGCUUACACCCUACUUUCCCCAGUGCAUCGAUUAUGACUUCCUUUCUAGCAACUGUGAGUACAGCCGGGACUCAUCAAUCACACCUGUAACUUCCCAGCUGCAUUUCUCAGGGUCUCUGAAAGCAGGGCCUUCUCUGGUCUUUUUAAAUUACCCACAGACCUAGGACAGUCUUCUGCACAUACUUCUACAUUUUAAAGGCUUACUUUUAGUAUGUUUAUGUGUGUGAGAUGGGGAAUAUUGUAUUCAUGUGUGCAUGUAUAUGUCUGUGAGUACUGUGGUCUGUGUGUGUAACUGGGUAUGACUGUGUGUGUCAUAUGGAUACAGGGGACUAGAAUGAGGACAGCCAGGUGUCCAGGCUAUAAGAUCUAAGGAGGCACUUGCUCUCAGGGCCAACCCUGCCCUUGCGUGAGCCUGAGAGAGAGAGCCUCCUGGAAUUUUGCACCUUGAGUGCCUUCCUGCUUCACCCUAAUCCCCCCGGUUGUCUGUAUGUUUGGAUGUGAGUGUUGUACAUAUGCUGUGUAUGUGUGUGCAUGCAUGUGAGUGUGCAUGGGUGUGUGUCUGUAUGUCUCAGCAGCUGUCACUGGGCUUCCCAGUCCCUGUCAGCAGGCGAAGGAGGCCCCUUCAUUUCCUUGGGUCCUGCUUAUGCAGCACAGGCCACAGCAAAGGCUCCCUGGGUUGGGUCAGCCCUCACUCUAACUCAACAUGCCCUGGAAGUCACCACAGGGUCAUGGAAAGAGUCCUGGUGAUGAGAUGGAGUGUCUGCUCUGCCACAAGGGCUGUGGGACCAGGGUCGGGGCAUACCUCUCUGGGUCUCAGUUUCCUCACUGGUAAGAUGUGGCAACAGAAUCUCAUCUGUGAGCCCCCUCUAGCCUUGAACAACUCUGGAUCCAGGUAGACCAGCAUAAUGAAAGCCUAUGAAGCUUCUGAGAUGUGCGAGGCAUACAUUGUCCCAGGUACUCAAGUAACUCAAGUCUGGAAGCUGCGAGCCACAGAGAUCAAGCCUUCUCCAAAAAUUGGACUGCAAGGCAUGCCGUACAAACAGAGUGCUAGGAGACCUUGGGGAGGUGGGGAAGAGGAAGAGGAAUCAUGGACAGCUUCAUGGGGAGGUGGCUUUGGAGCUGGGAUGGGUGAGGACAGCUGGAAUGUGGGCAGCACGUGACCAAGUGCUUUGCAGACAUGGCAUGGCCCCCAGCCAGGCCCUGAGGAAAGGAGAGUCUCAGGACAGCAGCUAUGUCACUGUAAGCAGGACCCUUGAAAGCAGGUGCCACCUGCAAAAGGGGGAGCCCUGAGGCCCAGGCAGGCCUGUCACAGUGUGGGGCACCUGUCUAGACAGCCCCAUGGCCAGCAGUGGGGGUGGGCCAUGGGCCAUGGGGACCUUCCUGGUAUGGGGUACUGCCAUGUCCCCAGGGAAUAUGGGGGGCCCAGGAAGGUCCCCAAGGCUCGAAGGACCCAGGUCUUUUCAUACUGCCAAAGAGAUGUAAGGCCUACAGAGGGGAAAGUUUGCAUAUCUGUGAAGGCAUGGAGCCUAGGCAUUGGAAGUGUCCAGUAAGCAUUUUCAUUUGGCAGAAGUAUCUCCAUGGCACUUCUACCUACAGCCCUGCCACAUUUUGCCACAAACUGUCCAGCAGCCCUGAGAUGGAGCCCCAGUGUAGACCGUCAUGGAGCACACUGGCUCUGGAACAAUGAGGAGCAGACUGGAGAAAGCCAGAUGGGGUUUACCUGUCAACAGCCACAACAUAGUUGUGCUGGGGUGACUGUUCAAGAAAAAUGAACUUUGGUGCUCCUGCCGAAUGGGUUGUUAGUGUUCAGUCCUUUUCCUACCACUGAGUUGUUUUGUCUGAUCAUUCUUCCUCCUGGUUCUGCGGGUCUGCCUUCUUGAAAGGGAAGAGCAAGACUCCAGCUCCCUGCCCUGUAGAGGUGCCUUCUACCUUGCUCAGUGUUGAAGCAAAGGAGCAAAGCAAAGCUUAAGUCAGAGAUUUGGUGCUCAGCUAAUCACAGAGACUUUUAAAUGUCAACCAGGGUUUGCUAUCAGGCCAAAGCUGGAUUAUUAUUACCCAAAGUAGAAAAUUGUGAGACAGAGGCAGGUGGGGAGGGAGGGAGAGAGAAGAAAGCAGAAGGUGGAGGAUACGUGGAUUUAAUUUUUUAAAAAUAAAUAUAUGAUUCCGUGUCAAUUAAAAACAAGUACCCCAGGCAAGUCUUCCUGCAGUCCUGUCUUAGCCGCACACACAGCAUAACUGCAAACCCACUUGAGCUCAUUUUUGCUCAAAGACCAACUCUAUUAAACCCUUAGAAUGUUCUGGAUUUCAACACACAGUCCACAGACAGCCAUUCUAUCAAAAGCUUAGUGUUUUCCCUAUGACUGGGUUUUCUGGUAAGGUGAACUAAGGCAUCCUUUUCCAUUUCAGGCUGUGGUAACAGCAGAUAACAGCCGCAGAGGUCAUAGCCAGCACUUUCUAUGCGUCCCUUCAUUUAAUCCCAGUACUCCUAGGUGGUAGAUCUAUUAUUUUGUCCACAUGAAUUAUUGAAAAGUCUGUCCUAAAUUUUAAAUGGAACGAAGUACUGGGUUGCAAGUUACUGGUGGCUGUUUCACAGGAAAUACUACGACAAUGGGACUUUGGGAAUGUGUUCUGGAGACUCCACUCCUUGGUGACUACUACAUGGAGCACAGAAAAUUGUCUUGAGUGGCAGCUAUGUGCCAGGUGAGGAGACAGGUUUUACUCACAUGACUCCCCAGAAGCCCUGCAGCAUCCCCAUAUUUUAUAAAGGGGAAGUACAAGCCCAGAGAGACAUCUGACUUGACUAAGUUCACACAAAAACAGCAAGGUCUGGGCCAAGAUGGAAGCCCGGGCUUUGCCUUCUUCUUCUGCCUGCAGGGCAGGGGCUUUCAUCCUGGCUUCACGCUGAUUUCAAAAGCCUCUCAUUCUCUUGACACCUCAUGGCCCCUGAGUUUAUCCCAAGAAUAAUAAGUUCUACUGUCCUCCUGGAGAUGCCGAAGAAUCAAAACUGCAACACACAGAGGGCCUGGGUGUGCGCGAACACUGUAGUACACACCGAUGACAGCAGAUUAAGCCAUUUCUCUCUUAGGUGCGUCACCCAACCAGCUCCUGGACCCUUCUGCUGUGCUGCCCUGACAGUCACAAUAUGUCCUAGUGGACUAAUUAGCACUAACUACCCAUGUCACCCCAAGGCCAUUUAAGAAGACAAAUAAAAAAGACAAAACCAAUGAGUAUUGUGGCUGAAGAUGACGAAAAAAAGUUAAAAGCAGGGAGGAAUGAAUUAUUUUUUCUUUCUCAAUCUCUCCCUCUGCUUAAACCAAAGAGAGGUUUUCAUCUGAGAGCCCGGGAGCUAAGCAGCUACUUUCUACAUGAAAAAGUGAAAACAUUAAAAUAAAAUCCCUUUCUUUCAAGCUAACGUUCUAAAACUGAACCUCUGCAGAGGCUCCAAAAGAGAAAUGCCUUGCUUUUAAGCCCCUGAGUGAGAGGGAUCCUGAGGAAGUGGCAGAGGGGAUGAACCUAAGCUUUGGGACAUAACAACCGGCACCUCCAGUGGCCACCACUCCUAGCUAUGCUGCCUGUGGAUGGGGCCCCCAGUGCUGGCCCCUAACAGCAUGGGGAAGCCUCCCCAGCCACUCUGAAGCUGUUCGCAUCACAUCCAAGAUGAACCUAGGCAGGGAGGCUGAGUGUGCUUGGGAGAUGCCAAGUUAGGGAAGUAAGUUCCCCAGGGUCCUUCAACUUGUGGUGCCUGAGGAUAGCUGCUUUUUUUCCAGUGCAGAUGGAGACACGGCAGCCUUGGGGGGAUGUGUGAAAGUAAGGCCUCCCUCCCUCUGCCUUUCCAAGUGGCUGAUCAUCUCCUUCCUUCUCAUAGCUACUUCUAGGAGAGGCAUCCAGGCAGGAACCACUUCUCCAUUUCACAGAUGGGAAGACUGAGAACCAUACUGGAAAGGGGUGUAUUUUAAUUAAACUGGAGAGUGGGGAACACUGAUGAGGAAAGCAAGCUGAUAGACGGAAGGCUCUGCCUGUCACUGCCAGCACGGGCACUUGGGCCUUCUUAUCAAGGGUUCUGAUGGGAGUUUCCACUAGGAUUCCAGGUGUCGAUCAUCUAGUAGCCGAGUUCUGAUGAGCUGGACUUUGGGUGGUUGAGGUAGGGAGCAGUGGAAAGGGGAAUUGGAGUCUUAUCAACCUCUUUGAACACCAGUUCCUUCCCCUCUCUUCUAUAAAAAUGUCGUAGCAAUACCUGCCUGGCAGAGUUGUGAGAAUUAAAUGAGAUGAUGAAUACAUCUGCUCUCAGCACCACACCACACCUGUGGCAGUCCUCAGAGAGAAGAAUCACAGCUUUCAUUCAUUGAGAGCUCACUAAGUGCCAGGUAUGCUCAGCUCUUGUGCAGACGUUCUUUUUCUUUGGAUGUAAAUGUGACAUGGGCAGAGCAGGAGGAGCUGUGAGGCUGGCUUGGCUGAGCCACAGGGAUUGCUGGCAUCUUAUAUGGCAUUCAGGACUAUGGAGGGUCCACGGGAAGAAACACAGAAACAGAACCCAAGUAUCCUUCGGGGACUCUUGGACUUUCUUCCCCUUGAUCUUAGACAUGCCUCAGUAAACAGAUGCUGGUUUCUAUCGAGACUCAUUCCUGGGGAAGGACCCCCACCAGCCAAGCAAGGUAAAGCCCAGACUCAGUUACAUGAAUUACAGGUUUAAGACAGAAGCCUUCCUAUGAAUAUUUUUCUGGCCAGUGGCUUAUAUAAGAGAAAUUUGCUCAUUGUAUUUCUAUCUGGCCAACGAAGGGGUCUAGAGGGGCUUUCAGCAACCCAAACAGUCUUGUCAGCCCUAACUCUGGACCUAAGGAAAUAAUUAUGAAUCCUCAAGAUCCAUUUAAAAGUGUCAUUACUGUAGAUAAACAAAGACGAGUGGAUGCUUCUUCCUACUCCACCUCACUGCAGAGAUUCCAUCCAUCCCAGGGUCACUGACCACUGACUGGAUGAACUAGGAUUGGUGUGGCAGAGUGGAGUUUUCAGGAGCCAAGAGACUCCUGGAUUGUCAUGCUCUGUACUCCUUCCCCACGAAAGGAAUGUCUAGAACUCCUGCUGAAAGUAGUCAUUGCCUGCAUUUCCUAGGCAGAAUGUGUUAGCUCCCUCCCCAGAAGAACCUGGGCGAAGAAGGUGUUCCAAUCUGCAUUUGGAAAGAAUCCCUCCCGCAAAGAACUCUACACCCUCUAAGAGAAGAUAACGUGAGGGCAUAUUCUCCUCUCUUAGAGGGUGUUUUCAAUACUAAAUUCUAUCUCUGAAGAGAAUGAGGACCCGAAGGGGGGCAGUGCACCAAGUUUUCAACUAAAACAAAAGCAAAACUAAUCUGCAGUCUUGAAGGUGGGCUCAUUCAUUCCCCUGCCCCCACUUUUUAAAACAUUUUUUUUCUUAAAUGAAACAGUUUCUUUUAUCUUUUGGCUUCUCGUGUACUCAGAACCAUAGAGCUCAAAGCUUCUCAGCUCAACGGAGAACUCAGCACUUCUUGGACUGAUAAAUAGAGCAGCUUUAAAAUGCUUAGAACUGAAGACAGACCAACUGUGGCGAGAGAAAGUAAACACAUCCAUGCACCAGUCAACCCUAGCAAGCUCCUCGCUGAGAUUACAAACUGCAGUUCCUGCCUGAGCCGGAGAGGAUGCUGGAGCAGGCUGGGGGACCAGAACCACAAACCAGCCCUGGCUUAGCUCUGGCUUAGCUAGCUGUGCCCCAGAAGAGCUGGGUCCUCAGGGAGUCUUCUUGCGGCCCGGUUUGGAUGUUCCUAAGCAUAGAAGACUCUGCCAGUGUGUCCCUCAUUCGUUUCACAUUUGGAAAUGUACCAAGAGAAGUGGGAACCAGCUUUACUCUUUGAUCUAGAUGGGAAUCCUUUCCUUUGCAUUCAAGCUCUCUGUGUACAGGUGUAACUUGCCAGUGAGAGACUUGGGAUUUCUCACAAAAUAGAAUGUGAUAACGACAUAAUUUGAUAUGAAUAUUUGAGGAACUUUAUCUCUGGACAAUAUAUACUUUAAACAUCCCCCUCCCCAAGUCACACACACAAAUUGUUUUUAUGAGAACCAAUUAAUAAAUGCUAAUUCAUUGAGGCAUAUCUUCACUAAAUUACUGUUUCAUUUAAUUGCAGGGAAUUUUCCAUUACUAAACUCUCCCUUGCUGAUUUUUUUUUGCAUUAUUUAUAUACUCUUUCAAUUUCACUAAUAGUGAGGUUGGUAUGUGAUAUUAUCUGAUGUUUGUACGUCUUAAAUUUAUUUUUCAUUUAAAAUAUUUCCUCAUUCUUGCAGCUCCACAUAAUCAGGGAGAAACAUCAAUAAAAGCAGGCAAGAUUUUACAAUAAAUGGUUGAAAAAGGCACUGGCUGAAAUUAACCUGACAGGAACGCGUCCUGUGUGAUUGUGUUUCUCUCAUUCCAGACGUGCGUGUGUGUGCGUGUGUGUGUGUCUCUACUUUGGGUUAAUGUGGGAAUGCUUUCCUAUAUCAAUAAGUCACAAGUCGAUCUGUGAAAAGAUUGUGCAUACAAAAUGGAGAUGAAGAUCACAGGGGCUUUAAUAAUAAAAUAAACAUAAACAACACUCGAAUCUCUUUAUAAAUCCCAGAGCACAAUGUGCGUUUUCUUACUUCCUUUUCAUGGACCCCAGAUAAAGACUUUGACAGCCAGAUAUCCAAGAUCCGGAUCAGCCAGCUUCCUAAAAUUCUCCUCUUUUUUUUUAAGGGGUAGAAAACUGGGGGUAUCCCUUGGUGGUUAGGGGUUGCUUAGAGACUGUGGUAGAGAUUUGGUGUUAACAAAAAUGUAUUUUGAAAGCAGGAUUUCAAUUUUCUUAUAUUGAAUGGCAAAGGUUCCAUGCACCUGGCUAUCUUCAUUUCUGAAAUGAAUGCUUUCAUUUUAUUCUCUCCAGCUACCUUCUCCCUUUCUUUCCUUUCCACCCCCAUUGCCUCCUUUCAGUGUCUUUCUUUUUCUCCUUAUUCUUUCACUCCUUUCUCUCUCACAGCAAAAUGUUCUGGAGGAUGUGAAUGAUUAAACUGUUUACUCCAAGGUUUAGGUAUGAAAAGGCAAGUCACUGUAAGUAAAGUUUCACCUUUAUACCCAACUCCAUCAAUAAUUACAGAACAAGGAUGACUAUUAGUAAAUCUUUCUUACAAUUGGCUCUUACAAAAAUGAUUUCAUUUUUUCUGGGCAUACCAAGUUUGACAGAUUUUACUUUUCACAAAAAUUAUUUACACAGCAGAGGAACCUGCUCCAAAAUGAAGGAAGCAUAUAAAGGGCCGUUGAGUGUAUCCAUAGGAAAAUGAAUACCUAUAAAAUGCAUCUCAAUAAAUUAGAGAUUUGAGGCCAUAAAUAGAACGUUUUGACAUAUUAUAUUAGUAGAUGCCCUCUAAUUUAAACCAAAGUGUCCCUUAGUAAUUAAAAUUCCAUGAGAUUGAUUUUUUAUUUGGUUUCCUUCACUUCCUUUGUCUUCUUCAACAAAAUUAGGCAGAGUCCUUUUGGGGGUAGACUGAUAAAAUUAAUUAACUUUCCUUCCACCCCCAAAAAGUUCCAAAUAAAUGCUUCCAAUAGACAUCAAAAAAGUGUCAAUUAGAAAUAAUUACUUCUUAUCAAUCAGUGGGGCAAUUAAAGUGACAAAGCUUAAAAAGAUACUUAUCUUAAAACUAAUUCACAAGGUAGCUAAAUUAUCUCCUAAUUAACUUGCAUUGUGGAGGGUGGGGGGGAACCAUCUUGAAACAAAGAUGAAUUGAUGAACCCCAAUACCUCUUUAUGUUCCUCAAAGUUGCUUCCAUCCCCUGAAACCUUAUUUUCAACCCAGGCAGGAAACCUGGGAAGAAAACAGAUCCUUUCCAAAUGCAUUUAUUCCACUUUCCUCAAUUCUAAAACCAAGAGUUAGGAAUGGGGCUUUAGAUCUCACAUCAGGGAAGUUAGAGACAUCGUCCUCUGCCUUGUCUUAUUUUACCACUUGAAUGAACUAUUUUCGGGACUGGUGGGAGUGGGCUGCGACAAGUUAUUUAAGAUAACUUUUAAUGACAGCCAGCCUGCUUGCUUUUACAAAACUCUCUUCCUCAUUGGUACAGUAUUGUUUUCACUUUUAUAUAUAUGGGGCAUUUAUCGUUUCUUCUGCAUCUUUGAAUUUUUUUAAAAAUGUUUUUGCUUUAGAGAAUUUCGUCCCUGAUGCAACAAAAAUAGCGAUUUUAAGGAACGUUCAGCCCAUCGCUGACCUGCGCACGUUAAAAUGAUUCGCGUUCAACAUUCCUGCAGAAUAAAGCUGUAGGAAAGACAACGUUAAGACUCUCUGCAAGGCAAGACCAGCCAACGACGAGGCGACCCCGUGGCAGGCUGGGCGGCGGAGGCCGCGCGGGGAGGUUUUCUCGAGCGUCCCCGGUUAUUGGGAAGGGUGCGCUCGGCCUCGCUCCCGCGGAAAGCCGUGUGGCCGCCUGCGUCCCGGGCUCUGCUCACAGAAAACUCAAGGGGAGCUCCCUAAGCACGGCCGGUCUCAGGAACAGAGGUGCCUGGGGAAAAGGGGGAACCUGCUAAAACCCGAGAGAUAAUGGGCUUGUAAAAACCAGAGGGGUCCGCUUAUGAGUUUAGCUCCGGUUAUAGACAACAGUGUCAGGUAAGCUGAUCAGAAAGACAGACGGCCUCUCCCUCAGGUUUGCCGAGGGAGGGUUCAGAAAAGAAACAGGGAGCGCCUUCAGCAGUCUAUGCGGUUAUAGGCCAUUUUCUUGUUUUAUUAGCGUUUAAAUUAAACUAUGAGAAGAAAGUCUCAUCUUCCCUCCCUCGCCACUUUGUCUAUUUGUUUUGGAAAGAGGGUAGAAGAAGCCCCUCUGUCUUCCCGAAAAGAAGAAAGGGGAAAAAAAUUACCUGGUAGGUCCAGGGGCAGAGGGCUCCCUCCCAAAACCCAAGCGCGAUUUGCAUCCAAGCUAGUGGGAAAGCGCGCAUCUCAUCAUCUGGGACUGUUCCUGAUUAAAACUACAGUAAAAAUAAA